AUUGAACGCUGGCGGCAGGCCUAACACAUGCAAGUCGAGCGGAUGAAGGGAGCUUGCUCCUGGAUUCAGCGGCGGUCGGGUGAGUAAUGCCUAGGAAUCUGCCUGGUAGUGGGGGAUAACGUCCGGAAACGGGCGCUAAUACCGCAUACGUCCUGAGGGAGAAAGUGGGGGAUCUUCGGACCUCACGCUAUCAGAUGAGCCUAGGUCGGAUUAGCUAGUUGGUGGGGUAAAGGCCUACCAAGGCGACGAUCCGUAACUGGUCUGAGAGGAUGUUCAGUCACACUGGAACUGAGACACGGUCCAGACUCCUACGGGAGGCAGCAGUGGGGAAUAUUGGACAAUGGGCGAAAGCCUGAUCCAGCCAUGCCGCGUGUGUGAAGAAGGUCUUCGGAUUGUAAAGCACUUUAAGUUGGGAGGAAGGGCAGUAAGUUAAUACCUUGCUGUUUUGACGUUACCAACAGAAUAAGCACCGGCUAACUUCGUG
This 484-nucleotide ribosomal RNA is filed under the name uncultured bacterium. Its description in RNAcentral is "partial 16S ribosomal RNA". It matches the Rfam family "Bacterial small subunit ribosomal RNA", at positions 30 to 507 of the family's 1533-position model. The record is from RNAcentral.